AACGUAGGUACCGAGCGUUAUCCGGAUUUACUGGGCGUAAAGCGCGUUCAGGCGGUCUGGCAAGUCGAGCAUGAAAUCUCUCGGCUCAACCGGGAGAGGCUGUUCGAUACUUUCAGACUUGAGGGCAGUAGAGGAGGGUGGAAUUCCGGGUGUAGUGGUGAAAUGCGUAGAUAUCCGGAGGAACACCAGUGGCGAAAGCGGCCCUCUGGGCUGCUCCUGACGCUAAAACGCGAAAGCUAGGGGAGCGAACGGG
This 253-nucleotide ribosomal RNA is filed under the name uncultured bacterium. RNAcentral describes it as "partial 16S ribosomal RNA". It matches the Rfam family "Bacterial small subunit ribosomal RNA", at positions 524 to 776 of the family's 1533-position model. The record is from RNAcentral.